UUAUCCUACGGGAGGCAGCAGUUAGGAAUAUUCGUCAAUGGGGGAAACCCUGAACGAGCAAUGCCGCGUGAGGGAAGAAGGCCCUGCGGGUCGCAGACCUCUUUGGACGGGGAGCAAGGCCGCCGACGUGUCGGCGGAAGGAGAGUACCCGUAGAACAAGCAUCGGCUAACUCCGUGCCAGCAGCCGCGGUAAUACGGAGGAUGCGAGCGUUAUCCGGAUUUAUUGGGUU
This 230-nucleotide ribosomal RNA is filed under the name uncultured bacterium. RNAcentral describes it as "partial 16S ribosomal RNA". It matches the Rfam family "Bacterial small subunit ribosomal RNA", at positions 334 to 560 of the family's 1533-position model. The record is from RNAcentral.